AAAUGAAUUGACGGGGGCCCGCACAAGCGGUGGAGCAUGUUGCUUAAUUCGAGGCAACGCGAAGAACCUUACCCGGGUUUGACAUACACAGGACUGGUCGUGAAAGCGGCUUUCCCUUCGGGGCCUGUGCACAGAUGCUGCAUGGCUGUCGUCAGCUCGUGCCGUGAGGUGUUCGGUUAAGUCCGGCAACGAGCGCAACCCGUACUGUCAGUUGCCAUCAGGUAAUGCUGGGCACUCUGGCGGGACUGCCCGUGUCAAGCGGGAGGAAGGCGCGGAUGACGUCAAGUCCGUAUGGCUCUUACAUCCGGGGCUGCAAACGUGCUACAAUGGCCGGUACAAUGGGAUGCGAGUACGCGAGUACGAGCGAAUCCUCAAAACCGGCCUCAGUUCGGAUCGCAGUCUGCAACUCGACUGCGUGAAGUCGGAAUCGCUAGUAAAGGGACAUCAGCAACGGUCCCUUGAAUACGUUCCCGGGCCUUGUACACACCGCCCGU
This 494-nucleotide ribosomal RNA is filed under the name uncultured bacterium. Its description in RNAcentral is "bacterial SSU rRNA". It matches the Rfam family "Bacterial small subunit ribosomal RNA", at positions 903 to 1397 of the family's 1533-position model. The record is from RNAcentral.